Molecule: ribosomal RNA, 253 nt
Filed under: uncultured bacterium
Lineage: Bacteria
Description: partial 16S ribosomal RNA
Rfam family: Bacterial small subunit ribosomal RNA
Source: RNAcentral
GACGUAGGAGACAAACGUUAUCCGGAGUUACUGGGCGUAAAGGGCGUGCAGGCGGUGAUCUGAGUCUGGCGUGAAAUAUCCCGGCUCAACCGGGAUAGGUCGUCGGAUACUGGGUGACUAGAGGACAGCAGAGGCGUGUGGAAUUCCGGGUGUAGUGGUGAAAUGCGUAGAGAUCCGGAGGAACACCAGUGGCGAAGGCGACACGCUGGGCUGUACCUGACGCUAAGACGCGACAGCAUGGGGAGCGAACGGG